UUCCUGGUGGUUCAGUAGCUAAGACUCUGCUCUCCCAACUCAGGGGGGUCAGGUUCAAUUCCUGACCAGGGAA
Molecule: transfer RNA, 73 nt
Filed under: Bos taurus (domestic cattle)
Lineage: Eukaryota; Metazoa; Chordata; Mammalia; Artiodactyla; Bovidae
Also listed under: 2 other names
Rfam family: tRNA
About the family: Transfer RNA (tRNA) molecules are approximately 80 nucleotides in length.
Source: Rfam by way of RNAcentral